CCAAUAGCGUAUAUUAAAGUUGUUGCAGUUAAAAAGCUCGUAGUUGAAUUUCGGGAUCAAUAUGCUGGUCGUGCCAUUGGUACGUACUAGUAUUAUUGGUUUCUUCCUUCUGAUGAAUCAUGAUGUCAUUAAGUUGAUGUCAUGGGGAAUCAGGACUGUUACUUUGAAAAAAUUAGAGUGUUUAAAGCAGGCUCGCGCUUGAAUACAUUAGCAUGGAAUAAUGAAAUAGGACGUUUGAUUCUAUUUUGUUGGUUUCUAGGAUUGACGUAAUGAUUAAUAGGGAUAGUUGGGGGCAUUAGUAUUCAAUUGUCAGAGGUGAAAUUCUUGGAUUUAUUGAAGACUAACUACUGCGAAAGCAUUUGCCAAGGAUGUUUUCAUUAAUCAAGAACGAAAGUUAGGGGAUCGAAGACGAUCAGAUACCGUCGUAGUCUUAACCAUAAAUUAUGCCGACUAGGGAUCGGAUGAUGUUAAUUUUUUAAUGACUCAUUCGGCGCCUUACG
RNAcentral lists this ribosomal RNA (500 nucleotides) under uncultured Glomeromycotina. RNAcentral's name for it is "partial small subunit ribosomal RNA". It matches the Rfam family "Eukaryotic small subunit ribosomal RNA", at positions 591 to 1092 of the family's 1831-position model. The record is from RNAcentral. Lineage: Eukaryota; Fungi; Glomeromycota.